GCUAAGUCUUUCUUUUUCUUACAUAAAUCAGUAAAGUUGAGUCACUCUAUUCACUCACUUUUUCAAUCAUUAGUCUCAAAUUCUGAGUUAAUAUGUCUGCCGGACGCCAUAAAUCUGAUGAAGACCCUAAGGUUAUCAAACUUAAGGUUAUGAUUGACAAGAACAAAAACCGAGUAAUCUUUGCAGAGUCGGACCAUGAAUUCAUUGACACACUCUUCUCAUUCUUGACACUCCCAUUAGGUACUGUUCUAAGACUUCUUGAAAAAGAUAUGGUUCAAUUGGGAUCAAUUAGCCGCGUUUAUGCCAGUGUUUAUUCGCUUGAGCCAAGGUUCUUGCGUACAAGCUAUUGCAAAUCUAUGUUGAUCAUGCCACGGAAUGCAUCAGAAGUUCAGUGUGAAAAGUUGAAGCUCAAUAUUGAUCAUUCGGAGAAUGCAGGGAAGUUGUUUGUCUGUUCUAAUAUCUGUUCUAACUAUCACUGUGAAAACUUUCUCAGUAUCUGGCAGAAUACACAGUGCUGCCUCUGUAAUAGUUUGAUGCGAACUCCGAGAGGAAUUUCUGACAAGGAAGAGAAGAGAAGUUGUGGGGGAGACAGCGUGGUUGAAGUCUUUCUAAAGGCUGGGGCAGCAAGCUUUAUGAUAACAGAUGAUUUGCAGGUAAUUCCAGCCUCAACUGCUAGUUUAACUGCUUUGUUUGGAAAGCUCGGAGUCAGUGACAAGAAUGAAAUCGAGGCAAAGACUGUAGAAGUUAGUAUUAAGGAGGUGUUGCAACUGCUGAAGUUCUCAUUGCUAUCCAAGACGCCUUUGACAAAUAUGAUACUGAAUAGCCAGGGAAAUUGGGUGAAAGAUAUAUCGAAGUUCGAAGAUAACCAAACAGCAAAGUUAGACAAGAAGGGCGCCAUGUCUCAAAACUUAAAUAGUAUGAGCCUGAAGCUUAUAGUCAGCAAAAGUAAGAAGAAGGUUUUGUAUGCGGAAGCCGGCGUCAAGCUUGUAGACUUCCUUUUCAGUUUCCUUGCAUUCCCGUUAGGUGCUGUAGUAAAGCAUCUAGGUGGCAACUCAAGACUUGGAUGUAUAGAUAAUUUGUAUAAGGGUGCUUCUGAUUUGAGUUCGGAAAACUAUAUCAAAUCAGAAGAGUGCAAAAAUAUGCUACUCUCUCCGAAAUUGUUUCCACACUCUGGUUUUGACAGUCAUAUUCUCGAGGUGGGAGAGGAGUACCCGAAAUACAGAUACAAUGGCUAUGGGGAUAUAGAAAUAGUAAGGAACACUAAUAAAUCCAAGGGAUCAUCGAUAGGAAAUGAGGAAGAAGCAAGUGAUUUAGCCAUCAUUUUGGAUCCAAAGUCUCCAACAGGGGAAACUAUAAAGGGUGAAGGAUACUUGAAAGGACCUGCAACGUUUAUGAUAAUGGAUAAUCUUCUAGUGACUCCUUUUUCCCCUACCUCAAUCAUAACUCAGCUUAAUCAAAUGAAGGUGUCAACCAGUGAUGUGGAGGAACGCAUCGUAACUGUUGGGAAGGACGAGGCCCUGAAUUUGCUUAAAGCGUCUUUAAUCUCAAAAACAGUUCUGAAUGAUGUUUUCAACAUAAGGGAACCUUAUCCUAAGGUUAUGCUUAAAGUGUGAAUUUUCAACAUGACGGAGACGUGAUCAUCAUGGUGUGAUUAUAUUAGAUGUUCUUGCCAUAUGCGAGACAGGUUUAAGAGAUCAUCAAUAGGAGCAUUAUUGGGGAUCUAUUCGCAUUCAGCGUAUUGGUGAGUCCUCCCCUACAUUCGGAGGACACCGCUUAUGUUAUUCUUGCGUCGAGUUAGCCCUUUUCAUUUGAUUUGAGGUAGCCAUGAACAUGUCAUUGACACCAAUUAGAUAGUAGUGAUAGAGGCUUCAUAGACUAGAUAGUGAAGGAUCGAUUGAGUAUUUCUUUCCUUAAAUUAUUCUUGUCAAAUUAUUUAUAAUGACAAAUAUUAGAGUUGAUUUGUUGGCCCAUGGCCUUUAUUCUUUGAGUUA
Molecule: RNA transcript, 1991 nt
Organism: Solanum dulcamara
Lineage: Eukaryota; Viridiplantae; Streptophyta; Magnoliopsida; Solanales; Solanaceae
Exons: 5
Source: RefSeq, a predicted model, not a curated record